GAGUUUGAUCGUGGCUCAGAUUGAACGCUGGCGGCAUGCCUUACACAUGCAAGUCGAACGGCAGCACGGGAGCUUGCUCCUGGUGGCGAGUGGCGAACGGGUGAGUAAUGCAUCGGAACGUAUCCUGGAGUGGGGGGAUAACGUAGCGAAAGUUACGCUAAUACCGCAUAUUCUGUGAGCAGGAAAGCGGGGGACCUUCGGGCCUCGCGCUCUUGAAGCGGCCGAUGUCGGAUUAGCUAGUUGGUGAGGUAAAGGCUCACCAAGGCGACGAUCCGUAGCAGGUCUGAGAGGAUGAUCUGCCACACUGGAACUGAGACACGGUCCAGACUCCUACGGGAGGCAGCAGUGGGAAUUUUGGACAAUGGGGGCAACCCUGAUCCAGCCAUGCCGCGUGAGUGAAGAAGGCCUCGGUUG
This 414-nucleotide ribosomal RNA is filed under the name bacterium enrichment culture clone ALO1_GLFRUDD03GL1RX. RNAcentral's name for it is "bacterial SSU rRNA". It matches the Rfam family "Bacterial small subunit ribosomal RNA", at positions 9 to 425 of the family's 1533-position model. The record is from RNAcentral.